AUUGAACGCUGGCGGCAGGCUUAACAAAUGCAAGUCGAGCGAGCGGAGGAAGGGUGAGUAAUGUCUGGGAAAAUGCCUGAUGGAGGGGGAUAACUACUGGAAACGGUAGCUAAUAACGCAUACCAUCAGAUGAGCCCAGAUGGGAGUAGGUAGUUGGUGGGGUAAAGGCUCACCAAGCAGACGAUCUCUAGCUGGUCUGAGAGGAUGACCAGCCCCACUGGGACUUAGACACGGCCCAGUCUCCCACGUGAGGCAGCAGUGGGUAAGAUUGCGCAAUGGGGGCAACCCUGACGCAGCCAUGCGGCGUGAAUGAAGAAGGCCUUCGGGUUGGAAAGUUCUUUCGGUAGCGGGGCGUUAACUACACAAGAAGCACCGGCUAACUCCGUGCCAGCCACCACGGUAAUUC
Molecule: ribosomal RNA, 406 nt
Filed under: uncultured bacterium
Lineage: Bacteria
Description: partial 16S ribosomal RNA
Rfam family: Bacterial small subunit ribosomal RNA
Source: RNAcentral